UACGUAGGGGGCAAGCGUUAUCCAGAUUUACUGGGCGUAAAGCGCGUGUAGGCGGCUGGUUAGGCGUGAUGUGAAAUCUUCCGGCUCAACCGGAAAACUGCAUUGCGAACCGGCCUGGCUAGAGUGCAGGAGAGGGAAGCGGAAUUCCAGGUGUAGCGGUGAAAUGCGUAGAUAUCGGGAGGAACACCAGUGGCGAAGGCGGCUGCCUGGGGCUUUGCUGACGCUGAUGCGCGAAAGCGUGGGGAGCGAUCCGG
This 254-nucleotide ribosomal RNA is filed under the name uncultured bacterium. RNAcentral's name for it is "partial 16S ribosomal RNA". It matches the Rfam family "Bacterial small subunit ribosomal RNA", at positions 524 to 776 of the family's 1533-position model. The record is from RNAcentral.